UAGGGAAUCUUCGGCAAUGGACGAAAGUCUGACCGAGCAACGCCGCGUGAGUGAAGAAGGUUUUCGGAUCGUAAAACUCUGUUGUUAGAGAAGAACAAGGACGUUAGUAACUGAACGUCCCCUGACGGUAUCUAACCAGAAAGCCACGGCUAACUACGUGCCAGCAGCCGCGGUAAUACGUAGGUGGCAAGCGUUGUCCGGAUUUAUUGGGCGUAAAGCGAGCGCAGGCGGUUUCUUAAGUCUGAUGUGAAAGCCCCCGGCUCAACCGGGGAGGGUCAUUGGGAACUGGGAAAAUUAGGUGCAGAAGAGGAGGGUGGAAUUUCAUGUGUAGCGGUGAAAUGCGUAGAUAUAUGGAGGAACACCAGUGGCGAAGGCGGCUCUCUGGUCUGUAACUGACGCUGAGGCUCGAAAGCGUGGGGAGCAAACAGG
Molecule: ribosomal RNA, 429 nt
Filed under: Gemmatimonadota bacterium
Lineage: Bacteria; Pseudomonadati; Gemmatimonadota
Description: Gemmatimonadetes bacterium partial 16S ribosomal RNA
Rfam family: Bacterial small subunit ribosomal RNA
Source: RNAcentral